GACGCGGUGGCGCAAUGGUUAAGCGUGACGGCAUCAAAGGAUAGAGGAAGGGGCCCGGGUUCAAUUCCCGGGCAGUGUCA
Non-coding RNA from Aphanomyces astaci, 80 nucleotides. The record is from Rfam. NCBI's taxonomy places the organism in Eukaryota, Oomycota, Saprolegniomycetes, Saprolegniales, Verrucalvaceae.